AAUAAGUGUAGUUUUGCACUAUUCACAUUCAAUAUUUGACUGUUCAUUUUAUUUGAAAAAUUUUUAUGAUUAAUAUUUUUAUUGCUAUUAGAUGAUAAAACAUAAAUAGUACUCUAUGUGUGAUAUCUUUAAAUUUUUUACAAAUUUUUUAAAUAAGACAGACGGUCAAGCAUUGGACAUGGAUAUCCACGACUACUUAUU
Non-coding RNA from Oryza barthii, 201 nucleotides. Lineage: Eukaryota; Viridiplantae; Streptophyta; Magnoliopsida; Poales; Poaceae. The record is from Rfam.